RNAcentral lists this ribosomal RNA (326 nucleotides) under Bacillus velezensis. RNAcentral's name for it is "bacterial LSU rRNA". It matches the Rfam family "Bacterial large subunit ribosomal RNA", at positions 507 to 834 of the family's 2925-position model. The record is from RNAcentral. Lineage: Bacteria; Bacillati; Bacillota; Bacilli; Caryophanales; Bacillaceae.
GGGAAAGGUGAAAAGCACCCCGGAAGGGGAGUGAAAGAGAUCCUGAAACCGUGUGCCUACAAGUAGUCAGAGCCCGUUAACGGGUGAUGGCGUGCCUUUUGUAGAAUGAACCGGCGAGUUACGAUCCCGUGCAAGGUUAAGCAGAAGAUGCGGAGCCGCAGCGAAAGCGAGUCUGAAUAGGGCGAAUUGAGUACGUGGUAGUAGACCCGAAACCAGGUGAUCUACCCAUGUCCAGGGUGAAGUUCAGGUAACACUGAAUGGAGGCCCGAACCCACGCACGUUGAAAAGUGCGGGGAUGAGGUGUGGGUAGGGGUGAAAUGCCAAUC